CGUGUGGGGUGGGCUUACUGCGACGGGAUGGGCUGCAUCUCCGGCGCCGGCGAGGUGGCGGCGUCGGCGAGCGGGUAGCCGAACACCCUGGAGAGGCGCUCGGUGGGGACGAGCGGGAGGUAGGUGGCGACGGCGCUGCCGCGCUUGGCGCCGUCGGCCACUGCCGUGUUGUACCUCGCCGAGAGGCUCGCGGCGGCGGGGAGCACGGCGCGGGUCACCGACGGCACGAGCGGGAGGCGGUUCAGCGCCGCCCACGCCUCCGCCGCCUUGCGCUCCGCCACGGGCUCGUACCGGGUGUAGAGGUCCCGCGCCCUGGGCUCGGCGCGGGCGAUCGCCGACUUGGCCAGCCCCGUCGCCGUGCCGACGAGCCCCGCCUGCCGCACCUCCGCCGCCGCCGAGCGGGCCAGGCCCGGCGCC
Molecule: long non-coding RNA, 417 nt
Filed under: Oryza sativa (Asian cultivated rice)
Lineage: Eukaryota; Viridiplantae; Streptophyta; Magnoliopsida; Poales; Poaceae
Description: long non-coding RNA (OSAT_LNC000921)
Source: RNAcentral